UCAUCCAGAAUGAACGAAUUUUUGAGAAACCACUUACCUGUUGAGUUUGACGUCAAUGAAUACGAGGUCGUCAUCUACAAAUCCAACAACGAAAUUGUGAUACCUAAACCGAAUGAAGAAUUCGAGGAGUACAUGGAUGACUUGCAUCAGAUCAGGAUCGCAGCCAAAAGUGUGGUUCAUUCUCGCGCGGCAGAAAAACACAUUGGGAAUGUAAAGCUUAAAUAGAUGGAUGGAGAAGCUCGCUAAUUAAAUAUUUAAUAGAUUAACCCUUAAUUGGUGGUAACAUGCAAUCCCUUGUUUGCACUGCAAAUUACAAAUGGUAAUUCAUAAUUUUUUAUCCAUAUUAUGUAAUUGAAAGUAUGUUUGUUGAGCAUUUGUUCUAAAUAUUACUUUUACUGCUGCUAGUAUUAUAAACUGACAUUUCCAUUUUAUUUUAUUUUACUUUAUGGUUUGUUCAUUUUUUUAAAAAUAAUAUUAACCGAACAACAAAUAAAAACGUAUGUAUUGCUAUAUUUGUGUGAAGUAAACGUUCUAAAUAGUAGCAGUUGGUUCGUUAGUGAAUAUUUACCUGAAGAUUUUAACCAUCGCGUGAGAAAUUUUGCUAUGAAGGAUCGGUGGUAAUUAAAAUUUACUAAGUAGGGCAUAUACAGUUUUAUAUACACUUUAUAUUAUUUCUAUUUUACUCGAGGGGUGGUAUGCCCCCCCCCCCCUGGAGAGAUGUAUUAACAUAAGUAAUAUUGCUAACGUUAAAUAAAUUUUAAAAAAAAUGUAAAAAAAAAAAAACUAGAAUCAAUCUAUUGUCAAAACAAAAACUCCCACAUAUCUUACAUUUGUUACAAUUUUAAAUCGACAGCUCCGCUAUGGCAACCAAGAAAACAUACUUUGAAAUCACAUGUACAAUAAACAUGUUUCUCUUUUGUUAAAAAAAGUGUACAUUACAUUUUAAUCCAUCGAAUUUGUGUUUAUAUGCGUGUAUGACUGAUAAGAAAUGUGUGGCAUUGACUAAAAUAAUAUAUUAACCAUCAGUCCUCAAAUUGUUUUAUUUUUUUAUUUUUCAAAGUAAAUCAAUUUUUUUUUUUAUAUUUUCACAUUUCUAUUUCCAUUCUUCCAUCUGUGGAAUAUUAGUCUGCUACAUAUAAAAUUUCAUGUUUAUAAAAAGACCAUAUUUGUACACAAUGGUUAAAUAUAAAUGUGUAUGUUGUAUUUGUCAAUCUGAUUAUGAUUACUUGUGGAAAUAAAUUGGGAGUAAGCUGCUCGAAACU
Long non-coding RNA from Physella acuta, 1262 nucleotides. RefSeq lists it as uncharacterized. The record is from RefSeq and is a predicted model, not a curated record. NCBI's taxonomy places the organism in Eukaryota, Metazoa, Mollusca, Gastropoda, Physidae.